Molecule: ribosomal RNA, 484 nt
Filed under: uncultured bacterium
Lineage: Bacteria
Description: partial 16S ribosomal RNA
Rfam family: Bacterial small subunit ribosomal RNA
Source: RNAcentral
AUUGAACGCUGGCGGCAUGCUUUACACAUGCAAGUCGAACGGCAGCGCGGGCUUCGGCCUGGCGGCGAGUGGCGAAUGGGUGAGUAAUGCAUCGGAACGUGCCCAGUAGUGGGGGAUAGCCCGGCGAAAGCCGGAUUAAUACCGCAUACGACCUGAGGGUGAAAGCGGGGGACCGAAAGGCCUCGCGCUAUUGGAGCGGCCGAUGUCGGGUUAGCUAGUUGGUGGGGUAAAGGCUUACCAAGGCGACGAUCCGUAGCUGGUCUGAGAGGACGACCAGCCACACUGGGACUGAGACACGGCCCAGACUCCUACGGGAGGCAGCAGUGGGGAAUUUUGGACAAUGGGGGCAACCCUGAUCCAGCCAUGCCGCGUGCGGGAAGAAGGCCUUCGGGUUGUAAACCGCUUUUGUUCGGGAAGAAAUCCUCUGGGCUAAUACCCCGGGGGGAUGACGGUACCGGAAGAAUAAGCACCGGCUAACUACGUG